Non-coding RNA from Paramuricea clavata, 753 nucleotides. The record is from the annotation of a GenBank genome assembly. Lineage: Eukaryota; Metazoa; Cnidaria; Anthozoa; Malacalcyonacea; Plexauridae.
CUAUUUAUCCCGGAAGAAAUUGCGUGUAAGAUUACUUGGCAUGCACAUUACAUAUCGGCGGGCAGAUUGGGUUGCCGGCAAAGAAUCUUAGUGGAAAUCAUUUAAACGUUCAAAUGCUUUUAAAUUUUAUUUAAAUCUUUGCAAUUUUACUUACAAUUAAUUAGGUGUUUGUGACAACUUGACUUUGUUUUACAAUUGUUACUGAUUGGUCCAGUGUUACAAGAGUAAACUAUAUAUUAAACUAUAUAUACAUACUAUUUUGUGAAAACGAAGACCAUUAACCCUGGCAAUGCGUCCAGAUGCACCCUACUUUAUUAUGUUACUCUGUCUAACGCAAUAUUAUUUUACUCUGUCUAACGCCAGACGAUUGUACUCAUCAGGGGGAGAGUGCUGCCACUCAAUGGGUUAAUUAACCUGAUUUACACGAGUGCCGUGCAUUCGUGUCGAAAAAGAAUUUGAUUGAGAAAAAAAUUUCUUUGACUGACUUAAACCACGGUUAACCGUGCUUAAACGAAAGGCAUUCAUUCAGAUUGCAUACAUAUACGUUUCUUGAGUUCCUUGAAUAAAUUUCCAUGUUUGAAUGGCCGGUUGUUCAAAGAUGGAUUAGUGCUAACUGCUAACCCUGGGUCAAAAUUUAACCUGUUGUUUUGGUUUGUAUGUCUAUUUGUUUCAAAACUUUAGAAAAUAGAACUUCUAUUGAUCCAGACAAGAAACGAUUCUGAAAAGCCCCUUUUGGGAUGAUCAAUUAAAUUA